GCAAGAAACAAAGAAUUGUAUUGUGGGUUCUGUCUUUGGUGGUGAAAAAAGCCAAGGGGAGAUUGAAGGGACUAUCAACGAUGUGAAGACGGAGAAAGAGGAACAGCUGGAUUCUGCGAAAAGUGAAGUGGGUUACCUUGGAGCUGAAGAAUUUGAUAAACAUGGAGCCUCAGACACAGGAGAUUUAAACGGAAUUGAAGUGGAAAUGGGUUCUGUCAUUGUGGAGAAAAAGGAGCAUUUCGUGAAGGAAAAAACGGAAGCACAGACUUUGCUGGAAGCCAAAAAGAAGCAAUUAUUGGCAAAACUCGAUGCUGGUUCGAUCAUUAAAGACAAAAUCCAUGUCGAAAAUGUUCCGGCUUUCAACACUACUACAGGAAUCUUGGGGGGUCUCAAAGGAAUUGAUGACUCUGUUAGCCCUUUUCUGAAGGUUGAAGUAACUGACGAUACAGCAUUGAUUGAAACGGUUCCACUCCCCAAAACUGGUAAUAUUUGUGUAAAGAUUUCUGGGGGGAAUGGAAAGAAGAAUGAGAAACAAGAAGCUGGUGGAAAGAAGGCAAAACGACCACGAAGAAAGGGAAAGGAUGUGAAAAAGGUUCUGGAGGUUGGUGACGAACAAAAGAAAAUGACCGACUUUGGCAAAGCUGCAAGUAAAAUAAGCCAAGCUGGUGAAGCUCAAAAUAGUGGUCAAAAGAAUGGAAGUCAAAUACUCGAGGGAGGAGAUGGAGACCCUGCGGUUUGUGAACAUUGUAGACCAGAGAAAGUUGUGGAGAGCGAUACACACUGGCCUUGGAGAUGCUGUUGUAAAGGAGUAUAAUGACUUGGCAGGCUUAAAGCGUCAGAAGAACAUUUGCAGAAACUUUGAUCCUCGACAGAUCUUUGGAAGGAAGGAAGAUGUCCCUGGAAUUCUCGGGGAAGUGUCUUCUGAAAAUUGUGAAAAUGAAUUAGAGAACACUGAAGAUAAGGCAGAACAUUUAAACCUAUUGGGUCCUUCUCGUCAGAGUUUUGGGGGUGAAGACACCUGCACAUUUUUGGAAGAAGAGUAUGAUGAAGAUGAGGACAGUGACGAAGAUUAUGCUAGCAUCCAUAGACCUGCUUUUCUUGUAGAAGGAGAGCCAGAUUUUGAUUCUGGACCUCCAGAAGAUGGUUUGGAAUUUCUUAGGCGUGUCAGGUGGGAAGCUGCGAAUAUUCCAAAAGUUAAAGUGGCCAAGCUUGAUAGGAGUAAAGUUAGUAAAGAACAAAGUGUUUAUAUGCCUCAGAUUCCUGAGAUUGCAAAGUGCCCAGAAAAUUUAAAGCCGUUGAAGCAAUGGGAGGAUGCAUUUCUUGCUGAUUUUUCAGAGUUACGGAUGUUUUUGUCCUGCAAUGAAGCUUCGAGGUCUGAAAUUUCAUGUAAACUGCAAUCCAUGGUUAUUGUUAAUGAGCAGAACACUUCCUCCCCUCAGCUUGCUGAAAGUGUUAUUCUUGAAAAGUUUAAUAACCUCAGAACAGAUGAAGUCCAUUCCAAUAAGGUGCUUGAUGUUUCCUGCCUCAGUAACGCAGUUGACCCGUUAUCUGUAGGAAAUGCUGAAGACAGUAAAAUAUUAGCAUAUUCUCAGGACAACUCUCCUAAAAGUUCUAUCAGCGAUUCUUCAUGCAACUGCCCUACAUUGUCUGCAAUUUUAGCAAUGGAUUCUGUAGCACGAGCAUCAGUGCUGAGGAAACGCAUAAACUCGGUAGAAACCAUGAGCAUGCUGUCAAAAAAUGAUUGUGUAUGGCUCUUUGCUUUAUGCGCAGCAGUUGAUACUCCAUUAGACGCUGACACUAGUGCUGCUCUUCGAAGCCUCCUCCGUAAGUGUGCUAGCUUGCGAGCUGCAAAGUCUGAACUUGAUGAUGAGGUUGUAAUGCUGAAUAUUCUUGCCACAAUUUCUGGCAGGUAUUUUGGACAGUCUGAAAAUUGAAGCUUUGCCAUCCUUAGUAGGUCUCUUAAAGGAGUGAGCUUUCCAAUUUGCUAAAGUUCUUCCUUUCCUUUUCUUUUUGCUCCCAAAAGAAUCUCCAAGAUGCUAGAACAAUUUUUUGUGUUGGGAAAUUUAGGUUUUAAUGGAUAGAAACCCAAGAAAUCAAGCUUGGUAAAGCUUUGGUUAUGGAGGGCAAAGGGGGUGGCAUGAAGAAGAAGGAGAGAGGAGCUUCACGAAUUUUUU
Molecule: unclassified non-coding RNA, 2174 nt
Filed under: Hevea brasiliensis (rubber tree)
Lineage: Eukaryota; Viridiplantae; Streptophyta; Magnoliopsida; Malpighiales; Euphorbiaceae
Source: RNAcentral